GGAUUGUAUGUGCUCCUUUUCUCCGACAGAGAGAGCAAAUCAACAGGACCUGAAGGCAGAUGAGAAGAAGCCUCUUCAGUAAGUUUCCAUGCAACAGAUUUAUGGAAACUCAUCGGCAGCCUCAUGGGCAACACAGGUAUGCACCUGUCUAUCAAGACAAUAACUUUCUUCAGGAGAGGAACAAACCCUUAGAACAGUUGCAAUGGUGAAUUGGUCCGGCAACAGUCCACUCUGUAAUAAAUCAACAAGCCUCCUUAAAGAAUAUUCCUCUAAACCACUCAUAGCACAGUCAGUUCUAGCCGGUUAAAAUAGCAUAAACGUGAAGAGUCUCGGAAGCAGAUGGGGAAACAUAGAGGAGGCACAACUUGAAGAAGUGGAGUUGACAAUGGAUCUUUGAGCAGAUAACAAGGGUUGGCAAAUGAGGGAUUCAGAUCAUUAUUGGAUAUAAUUACGUGACAGAGGAAGCAGUAACAAUAAUAGAUGGUCGUCGGGUUCAUGGAUUAAUUCUUGAAGAAUUCCGUUGUAACCUUUUCAUGCAGGAAGUUAGUUUGCUGCCAGCGUUUGCCGGUAUAAGUGAUUCUCCUACAUUAGCUGUUGCAGAUGUCGGCUAUUGCGUCAUGAGCUACUAUGACUUAUAAUGCAGGGAAUAGUCAAUGCCAUACUUGCUGUUCAUGGUACAUCAUGGCGCUGAAUGAGAAAGCUUGGAACAUGGUGGACGAUCGGGGUUUUAAUGAUGCUUUGGUUAUUUACACUGAAUGUUUUUGGAUUCAGUUGGUUUCUUGU
This is a long non-coding RNA of Lathyrus oleraceus (garden pea), 783 nucleotides long. RefSeq lists it as uncharacterized. NCBI's taxonomy places the organism in Eukaryota, Viridiplantae, Streptophyta, Magnoliopsida, Fabales, Fabaceae. The record is from RefSeq and is a predicted model, not a curated record. The transcript is spliced from 4 exons.